AUUGAACGCUGGCGGCAUGCCUUACACAUGCAAGUCGAACGGCAACAGGUCUUCGGAUGCCGACGAGUGGCGAACGGGUGAGUAAUACAUCGGAACGUGCCUAGUAGUGGGGGAUAAUUUCUCGAAAGAGUGGCUAAUACCGCAUGAGAUCUCCGGAUGAAAGCCGGGGAUCGCAAGCCCUCGUGCUACUAGAGCGGCCGAUGGCAGAUUAGGUAGUUGGUGGGCUAAAAGCUUACCAAGCCGACCCCCUGUAGCUGGACUGAGAGGACGAUCCGCCACGCUGGGACUGGGGCUCGGGCCAGACUCCUACGCGAGGCAGCAGUGGUGUAUUUUAGACAAUGGUCGUAAGCCUGAUCCAGCACUGCCGCGUGCAGGAUGAAGGCCUUCUGGUUGUCAACUGCUUUUGUACGGAACGAAAAGACCCGCGUUAAUACCCUGGGGUCAUGACGGUACCGUAAGAAUAAGCACCGGCUAACUACGUGCCAGCAACCGCAGUAA
Molecule: ribosomal RNA, 498 nt
Filed under: uncultured bacterium
Lineage: Bacteria
Description: partial 16S ribosomal RNA
Rfam family: Bacterial small subunit ribosomal RNA
Source: RNAcentral